UGAGCUCACCACACGUUGGGUGAGGAAGGGAGGAGACCUGAGCUGGUCUGUGUGUGGCAUGCUAGUUACAGUGAGGAGGGAGACAAGUGGGUGUCCAAGGAAGAACUUUGGUUCAAGCUUGGAGUGGAACAGUCAAUGGAAGCAGGCAGCAUACUGUUGAUUUACUAAGCCCAGAGUUUAAUCUAGAACGACAGAUCGACCCCUGGCAAGUACAUCAAAGCAGCAAGGAUGCCGCCUGGAAUCAGGAGGGGAAAGCACUGUUUUUCAGGGAGAAGUCUCUCAGAAAGCCAAAGUGAAAGAUCCCAGCUCAAAAGACACCAACUGAGCACAGAUGUGCCCUGGAAUCAGGCCCUGGGAUGAAGGGCUCUGGACACAGGAUGGAUUUCACAAUGCCCCCCGAAAGCAGUGUGGAGAAUGCACAGGCCUGGAAGAUGGAAAGGUUCAAAGUUUUGGCCUCUGUGCUAAUCACAUGGCUGAGGAAAACAAAGUCUAUCCUGACUAUGUAGAUGAAGUUGAGCCCUGACUCUUCAAGGGGCACAUUGCCACACACUGGACCUACAACUCAGAAGAUGCAGAGGGGAUAAGUAUGUACACGUAUGGGACUGUCUUAAGAAGAAAACUGACUUUGCCCUUGCAUACCUUAGAAAUAUUGGGGCCAUU
Long non-coding RNA from Meriones unguiculatus (Mongolian gerbil), 660 nucleotides. RefSeq lists it as uncharacterized. The transcript is spliced from 3 exons. The record is from RefSeq and is a predicted model, not a curated record. Lineage: Eukaryota; Metazoa; Chordata; Mammalia; Rodentia; Muridae.